CCUACGGGAGGCAGCAGUGGGGGAUAUUGCACAAUGGGCGCAAGCCUGAUGCAGCCAUGCCGCGUGUGUGAAGAAGGCCUUCGGGUUGUAAAGCACUUUCAGCGGGGAGGAAGGCGGUGAGGUUAAUAACCUCAUCGAUUGACGUUACCCGCAGAAGAAGCACCGGCUAACUCCGUGCCAGCAGCCGCGGUAAUACGGAGGGUGCAAGCGUUAAUCGGAAUUACUGGGCGUAAAGCGCACGCAGGCGGUCUGUCAAGUCGGAUGUGAAAUCCCCGGGCUCAACCUGGGAACUGCAUUCGAAACUGGCAGGCUAGAGUCUUGUAGAGGGGGGUAGAAUUCCAGGUGUAGCGGUGAAAUGCGUAGCGAUCUGGAGGAAUACCGGUGGCGAAGGCGGCCCCCUGGACAAAGACUGACGCUCAGGUGCGAAAGCGUGGGGAGCAAACAGGAUUAGAUACCCCGGUAGUC
RNAcentral lists this ribosomal RNA (465 nucleotides) under uncultured Klebsiella sp. Its description in RNAcentral is "bacterial SSU rRNA". It matches the Rfam family "Bacterial small subunit ribosomal RNA", at positions 338 to 795 of the family's 1533-position model. Lineage: Bacteria; Pseudomonadati; Pseudomonadota; Gammaproteobacteria; Enterobacterales; Enterobacteriaceae. The record is from RNAcentral.